This 301-nucleotide ribosomal RNA is filed under the name uncultured bacterium. RNAcentral describes it as "partial 16S ribosomal RNA". It matches the Rfam family "Bacterial small subunit ribosomal RNA", at positions 509 to 807 of the family's 1533-position model. The record is from RNAcentral.
CAGUCGCCGCGGUAAUACAGAGGGUGCGAGCGUUAAUCGGAUUUACUGGGCGUAAAGCGUGCGUAGGCGGCUUCUUAAGUCGGAUGUGAAAUCCCUGGGCUUAACUUAGGAAUUGCAUUCGAUACUGGGAAGCUAGAGUAUGGGAGAGGAUGGUAGAAUUCCAGGUGUAGCGGUGAAAUGCGUAGAGAUCUGGAGGAAUACCGAUGGCGAAGGCAGCCAUCUGGCCUAAUACUGACGCUGAGGUACGAAAGCAUGGGGAGCAAACAGGAUUAGAUACCCCCGUAGUCCCUGUCUCUUAUAC